Molecule: ribosomal RNA, 254 nt
Filed under: uncultured bacterium
Lineage: Bacteria
Also listed under: 1 other name
Description: partial 16S ribosomal RNA
Rfam family: Bacterial small subunit ribosomal RNA
Source: RNAcentral
CACGUAGGGACCAAGCGUUGUCCGGAUUUAUUGGGCGUAAAGCGCUCGUAGGCGGUUCGGUAAGUCGGGUGUGAAACCUCCAGGCUCAACCUGGUGACGCCACCCGAUACUGCCGUGACUUGAGUUCGGUAGGGGAGCGGGGAAUUCCUGGUGUAGCGGUGAAAUGCGCAGAUAUCAGGAGGAACACCGGUGGCGAAGGCGCCGCUCUGGGCCGAAACUGACGCUGAGGAGCGAAAGCGUGGGGAGCGAACAGG